UGUAGAGAUUGGAUGUUGUUCCUUGAUAAUGAUUUCGAUUUCAACAACAAGUGUAAUUUCUUUGAUUAAAAAAGUGAAUGUGAGUAAACAUGUCAGGAGCUCAAGUAGAUGUCUGCAUAUGGGAUUACCAACAAGGUGGCAAAAACUCUCACCUCAAAGCUAAAAAACUCAUUGACGAAAUCCGUUAUUGGUUCACUCAAUCCAAUGAGCCACUUCAUAUCGAUGACUUGAAAACCCUAAUCUAUGAAGGCAUGGUUGCUGCUUUCGAUCUAAAGAUUUGUGAUGGAAGCAUUGGAGAUGUGAAACAGUACAUGAUUACGCAAUGUUGGAAGGGAGGCAAAUUAAUGCCUCUAAUAGGGAUUUGAGCUAUAGCCCUACACAGUCUAAGUUAGCAAUGAUAAUGUCCCUGCCUGCACAAGAGGCAGCCACAUAUUCUGCUCAAGCAUUUUCUGAAGUGAAAGCCAUCCUAGAGGAAGUUGAAGAAGCAACAGAGGAAGGCUGAGGCUUCACUAUACUAUGUCUUAUUAUUGUCUAGAUAUUGAGCAACAUAUCUAUACAUAUCCCAUCAUCAUACACUGUGCUAAGAGAAACCGAGAUAUUGGCCUAAGGUCUGACUAGAGGAGAGGAUAACGGAAUCAUACAUGAUUUCAAGUGACAUCAGACAUUUGAAGUGUUCAAGAAGCUGUUCAGCCGCCAUUGCUGUCUUUUUGGCUAAAAGAUAUCUAAACCUAAUCUUUGAGUUUGAAUGGCACCAUCGAUCUCGUUUGUUGGUUCCAUAAAAACGAUGUUUCGAAUGAUCAAAAGGAAGAAGAAAGUCUUUCAGCGGAGGGAAAAGAAAGUCUACUUUGUGGGAUGUUAAGUCAGAAGUUCAAAAGGGUGGCUCCAUAAAAAUGGAACUCAAAAAUUUUAUUUAUUGAUAUUGAUCAUGUUUCAAAUUAUCUUUUACAUAGCUUUUGAUUCGGUUUAUUUCAUUUAUGAAUUCAAAUUAUACCGUUGAUUUUGUUUUUCUUUUCAAAUUGGCUAGUAAUUGUAAUGUCUACUAAUUAUAUGGUCUAAAC
Medicago truncatula (barrel medic) is the source of this 1058-nucleotide long non-coding RNA. RefSeq lists it as uncharacterized. NCBI's taxonomy places the organism in Eukaryota, Viridiplantae, Streptophyta, Magnoliopsida, Fabales, Fabaceae. The record is from RefSeq and is a predicted model, not a curated record. The transcript has 6 exons.